This 468-nucleotide ribosomal RNA is filed under the name uncultured bacterium. RNAcentral describes it as "partial 16S ribosomal RNA". It matches the Rfam family "Bacterial small subunit ribosomal RNA", at positions 28 to 507 of the family's 1533-position model. The record is from RNAcentral.
GACGAACGCUGGCGGCGUGCUUAACACAUGCAAGUCGAACGGAAAGGCCCUGCUUUUGUGGGGUGCUCGAGUGGCGAACGGGUGAGUAACACGUUAGUAACCUGCCCUUGACUUUGGGAUAACUUCAGGAAACUGGGGCUAAUACCGGAUAGGAGCUCCUGCUGCAUGGUGGGGGUUGGAAAGUUUCGGCGGUUGGGGAUGGACUCGCGGCUUAUCAGCUUGUUGGUGGGGUAGUGGCUUACCAAGGCUUUGACGGGUAGCCGGCCUGCGAGGGUGACCGGCCACAGUGGGACUGAGAUACGGCCCAGACUCCUACGGGAGGAAGAAGUGGGGAAUAUGGCACAAUGGGCGGAAGCCUGAUGCAGCAACGCCGCGGGCGGGAUGACGGGCUUCGGGUUGUAAACCGCUGUCGCCUGUGACGAAGCGUGAGUGACGGUAAUGGGUAAAGAAGCACCGGCUAACUACGUG